RNAcentral lists this ribosomal RNA (256 nucleotides) under uncultured bacterium. RNAcentral describes it as "partial 16S ribosomal RNA". It matches the Rfam family "Bacterial small subunit ribosomal RNA", at positions 74 to 334 of the family's 1533-position model. The record is from RNAcentral.
CAAUAUAAGUGAUGGCGACCGGCGCACGGGUGAGUAACACGUAUCCAACCUGCCGAUAACUCGGGGAUAGCCUUUCGAAAGAAAGAUUAAUACCCGAUGGUAUAAUAAAGCCGCAUGGUUUAAUUAUUAAAGAAUUUCGGUUAUCGAUGGGGAUGCGUUCCAUUAGUUUGUUGGCGGGGUAACGGCCCACCAAGACUACGAUGGAUAGGGGUUCUGAGAGGAAGGUCCCCCACAUUGGAACUGAGACACGGUCCAA